GAUGAACGCUGGCGGUAUGCUUAACACAUGCAAGUCGAACGGACUCUUCGGAGUUAGUGGCGGACGGGUGAGUAACGCGUGAGAAUCUGGCUUUGGGUUCGGGACAACCACUGGAAACGGUGGCUAAUACCGGAUGUGCCGAGAGGUAAAAGAGAAAUUGCCUGAAGAUGAGCUCGCGUCUGAUUAGCUAGUUGGUGAGGUAAAGGCUCACCAAGGCAGCGAUCAGUAGCUGGUCUGAGAGGAUGACCAGCCACACUGGGACUGAGACACGGCCCAGACUCCUACGGGAGGCAGCAGUGGGGAAUUUUCCGCAAUGGGCGAACGCCUGACGGAGCAAUACCGCGUGAGGGAAGAAGGCUCUUGGGUUGUAAACCUCUUUUCUUAGGGAAGAACAAAAUGACGGUACCUAAGGCAUCAGCAUCGGCUAACUCCGUG
Molecule: ribosomal RNA, 435 nt
Filed under: uncultured bacterium
Lineage: Bacteria
Description: partial 16S ribosomal RNA
Rfam family: Bacterial small subunit ribosomal RNA
Source: RNAcentral